CGGGAUUCGGUCCCUGCAGGGAGGGGGCCGCCGCGGGAGCGCGCCUCGGCCCCUCGGGUCUUCGGAGCCAAUGCGGAACCCGCCCCCAGCGGUGGGGGUCUGCCCGGGGAAGCCGGCUCUCCGCCUGCCGACCUAGCCCUGCCCUGCGGCCCCGGCAAACAGAGAGGUCGGCGGAGACCCGGGGCCCGCUGCCACCGCGGGUGCCUGUGAUCCGGGAAGUUCCCGCCCCGAGGGCAAGCGGGGGCUCAGGGACCUGGAGUCCAGAAGGUUCUUCGCAUAAGUGAAUUCUCAAGCUACCCCGGGGCCCAUCUGGAGCCAACCUUCCUCUUCUUUCCCUACCCCCCAAAUGCCUCUUUAGAGUGCCAGUGCUUUGUUGCUUACCAAAUUUCUAAAAUUCCAUUCCUCCUAAGGCCUAGCUCAGCUGCCACGUCCUAUCUGGAUCAUGCCCCCCACAACCCCGAGACCAUCUUGAACCCUCCGGCAAGUGAGCGCCUCCACUGGUGCACUUAAACACCAACAGUAGUACAACAGCAGCGCAUGACUACCCUCCCCACAGGCUGGCAAAUGCCCAUGGGAGCCAGUGAUCCAGCCUGCUCUAGUCUGUCAGAAAGGCUGCUCAGGACCAGAUUACAACCUGGAGAAAGUAAGUCCCCCCAUCCCACAUACAAAUCCCAAACCCCAGCGACUAGUGUUGCUUGAACCCAAGGGUUCAUAUGGACUCAAGACAAUUUAGCUUUUGAGCUAUGUUGUCGCACAG
This 757-nucleotide long non-coding RNA is filed under the name Homo sapiens (human). RNAcentral's name for it is "HSALNT0363366". Lineage: Eukaryota; Metazoa; Chordata; Mammalia; Primates; Hominidae. The record is from RNAcentral.